GUUUGUAAGCCAACUCAGGUGGAUAAUAUGUGCAGUUAAGUGUGCUCGGGCGAAAGUAGUACUAGGAUGGGUGACCUCCUGGGAAGUCAUCGUGUUGCACGUCUUUUAAGGUGGAUAAUGUGUACAUGCCAACUCAGGUGGUACAGGGCAGAUGUGCUAGCUUGUGGCAUCCAGAUGGCUCUGGAUGGGUUUGACUAGUGUAUUACCUGAACCUGUGUCGUUGCUUUAUUUUUUGGACCCAGACAUAGCUUCAAAUCUGUGAUGAUACCCGUUGGGUCGGCUACCCAUUGGUCCUUGGGUACCCAACGGAUCUGUGGGUACCACAAAUUCAAAAGUAUUAAAAAUAAUUGCG
Non-coding RNA from Lupinus albus (white lupine), 352 nucleotides. The record is from the annotation of a GenBank genome assembly. Lineage: Eukaryota; Viridiplantae; Streptophyta; Magnoliopsida; Fabales; Fabaceae.